UACAUGGGGUGCAAACGUUGCUCGGAAUCAUUGGGCGUAAAGGGCUCGUAGGCGGUUCGUCACGUCGGGAGUGAAAACUCGGAGCUUAACUCCGAGCCUGCUUCCGAUACGGGCAGACUAGAGGUAGGCAGGGGAGAGCGGAACUCCUGGUGUAGCGGUGGAAUGCGCAGAUAUCAGGAAGAACACCGGUGGCGAAGGCGGCUCUCUGGGCCUUACCUGACGCUGAGGAGCGAAAGCGUGGGUAGCGAACAGG
RNAcentral lists this ribosomal RNA (253 nucleotides) under uncultured bacterium. RNAcentral describes it as "partial 16S ribosomal RNA". It matches the Rfam family "Bacterial small subunit ribosomal RNA", at positions 524 to 776 of the family's 1533-position model. The record is from RNAcentral.